UUUAUCAGUUUAACAUCUGUACCUGAUGUUUGCCAAAUUAUUUUGUGUCUAUUAUCAGAUUUCUUCAUUUGGAAAACAUCAAUAUUAAAUUGGUGCACGUACUGUUACUAGUUAAUUCUUCAAGAAACAUAUUUCAAGGAUAUCAAGAAUAGGAUAGAGAGGGGCACUGCUGCAUGGCUUAAGUCCACCAUCUGCCUGAUGGAUCUGAGCACCAUGACAAACUGCUAUCCUUCCUGAUUAGGAUGUGCAAACAGAGAGCAGACAGAUUUUGCCAAGCUGGGAAAAAUGAGGUUGAUUUUCUGCUCCAGCCUCACCUAUGCUCAAGAUCCAAGAACAAAGGCACAGAACUUUUCAUUGAUACACCUCAACUCAACCUGGACAUUUUUAAGGAAGACAAAAGUGAAACAUCAGUCUGCACUGUCUUAAACCAAUGGGAAAAGGGUGUAUGAGAAGGGAAUAUGGGAUAUUGUUCAAGGUGCCACACAAAAUCAUCCUUCUGUUUCUUUAUUUGGCACUCUCACAUAUGAUGCUCCCCUUGUCUCAAAGUAAGUCUCUUACAGGUAGAGGAUCUGAUACUCAGCCUUUAAAAUCAGUGGGUGUUUUGACUUCUGUGUCAGUGAGAGUUGGGAUCAAGUUAAAACCCAUUUCAGAAGUCAGGCAGUGAGCCUCUAAAAGCAGUCAGUGUCUGCUCUCAAAAACAAAUCACUUACUGGGGAGAAAAGAUGAACUAAUGUGUGCAGCAGGAUCCAGCUGAACAGAGACCAGCUGGAAAGAAAAAAAAAUAUCAUGGGCAGAAAUGCAGCAUAUUGAUCUUACUUUAAUAUUUUAGGGUAGUAAAUGAUCUUAACAUAAUUUUAGAAACAAAGUCCCUUUAUGAGCUAUGGAAAGAUGCUGACAGAAAAGAUCACAGAUUUUGAAAUUCUGAUUGUGAGUGCAUCAGGGACUGGCAGCUGUGACUAUAGCUAUGUGAAUAGUUCAUUUUCAGGUGAAUUCUAGGUGAUUUCCAGUUUCUUAUAUGCCAUAUAUCUGACUGUAGUAAAAAAGAAACCCAAACCCCUCUUCUGCUUCACUUAUGAAAUGAAAUAGUUACUGAAAUUGCUGUGUUUUUUUUUUUUUUUUGAAAUAGCUAAAACUACUGUUGGUUUGAAAAAACCUUGGGCACAGAAAAAUUAAGGAGGGGCAGAGUUAAAUCACUUUCCAGUUCUAUAUUGCUGUUGAUGGGAUAAGCCUCUUUCUUACUGAGAAGGAAAAGAGAGUCAAAAAUGUUGUUUUCUGCUUAAAUUUUAUAUUCCUGGAACAAGCUUCUAAGCCAAACCAUUUUGAAAGCCAGGCAGGAAACCAAAGACACUUGCUUUAAUGUUCUUGAAAAUAUUGUAGGUUACCGAGCAGGAUAGUUUUGCCUAUGUUUUGAGUUUGACUCCUCAGACCAUUAUUUGAGAAUAAUACAAUUAAAUUAAUCUGUUCAACAGUUAUUUUAUGUAAUCUUUACAUUUGUGUGCUUUAUGCAAUUUAGAAGAAUAAUUAUACACACUAAAUCUUAGGUAAAUUGCUUAGGAAUUUUGAAAGGCUGAAAAUUUGUUUCUGAUCUUUGAAAGUUUAUCUUUACCCUUUUUUUGGUAUUUUUAUUCCUCCUACUUUUAACAAAAUUAUUUAGUAAGGCCCAGUUAAUAUAAUAUUUUUUUCUAUAAUUUUCAUUAUAAUUUUUUUUUUUUGCUAAAGAACUAUUGAAGGGCUUAUAAAGCAGGCAUUGUAGUAUUUUCACUAUUCUCUUCAUUAUCAUGUCACUAUUAUAUCAGAUUGCAUUGUAGCAGGUUUAUUUUGGAAAUGGCUUGUGUGAUCCAUAAUUAUUAUUAUUGCACAUGUUUCUAGAGCUUUUGUUCAACAUGUUAGAACUGAAUAUAUUAAUCACUUGAUCAUUGUGCAGCUAAUUUCUGCUCUUGGCUCUGUAAUCUAAAUCCAGAGUAGCUCCAUUUGCUACUUUCUGACCAGAAAAUAGCCCACUAAUGUUUUUCCUAUAAUGUUCAGAGUACUGUAAGAUUCGUUUGAUCUGCCAUAAUAGCUCUUUUAUAUUAAUAUCGUUGUAAGUGUUUCCAGACAAAUGAUGCCCUCAUUUAAAUGCAGCAGAUCAUAGAAAGGGUCUUAAUGGCCCUGUGCAGCUUCUAGAACAUUAAAAAUGUCCUUGAAAUACUGUGGAAGCUCAUGCAAAUCCUGGCUCUGUGCCUCUCAAUUCUAAUCCAUGAGAUUUGAGAAUGUGGCAAUGAAAAUGUGUUGGCUUAUAAAGUUGGGACUUUGUUUCCUCAGCAAUAGCCUUAAAGAAAUAAUCAAUUGUGUUUGAAUCUCAAAUGUAUAUUUACAGUAGUUAUUUUGGUUAAUUUUUCAUUUUAUGUUUAUGUCCUGAUCAGACCAGAAGCAUAACAUUCUCACAUUCAGAUACUAAUAUUCAUUUAGAACUGUAAAACAAACUGCACCUCUGCAAGAGCACAAAAUCCUUAUUACAGGAAUUAAGAUCUCAUUCAGCUUUUCCAGAAAGCUGAGUUUGUUUACAAGGAGAAGGAGAAGGGUGUCUUUUUAAUAAUUUUGUUUUUUUUUAUUUUUAAUUUCUCCAGUUCAGAAAAUUAUUGAAGACCAUUUCAGACCAUCAAAUCUAAUUUAGGCAAGUGUCAAAGAGCAGAAGACAGGGGUGUGGCACUAGCCACAAUCUUGUAAAAUAGUGUCCUGUCAGUUUGAAAUGUGGCAGUUUGUGUGUUAUUGUGUUUGUGGCAUCUAUUUCCUUGUUGCUCUAAGCAGGGAAAUCGAUGGAAGCUGAAGGUCUUGCAUUGAGAGACUGUGCUGCCUGUUGCCUGCCAUUCUCUUGUGCUAAGGAAGUGCUGUCUUGUUUUCAGUUUCUGGGAAAUGGUAAUGGCAGAGUAUGGGAGCAUUCUCACUAAGAAUCUGAGAUGAAGGGAAGGAAUAUAAGGAAAAAACUACUUUAAACAAGGCAAAACAUCUGCCAUGGGGAGACUGUCCCAUUGCCAUGGAUACUUUCACAGUCUAUUCUGCUGUCAGGAACUGCUGGUUUGGCAUUAUAUGAGCAAGAUGGCUUCUGGACACCAAGCAUAUGCAUUUAGAACAGAAAAUGAAAUUAUUUUAUUAACUCUUUUUUUUUGUAUUCUAAACAUUCAUUUCAAUUCUAGCCCAACAAUUUAACAACACUUGUUGUUAUAUGCUAAGUUUCAAAUUAGUCAUCAGUUUCAGUCUCUCCUGAAAAAUCAGCCUUUCUUCAGUUUUACUGCUCUGCUGUAGCAAAUGAUUCAUGAAUGCUUUCUGAAAUGUCAUUAAAUGUGGAGGAACUGCAAGGUUACUUUGCACCCUGAGAGACACAAAGCCAGUUACAGACAAAUGCAUUAAUGGAUACUUCUUUUGCCAUCUGCACAGCCUGACACUUCUGUAUAGUCUGAAGCUUCACACAGCAAUUUUUUCUGGAGUGAAAUAUCUAAACAGUUGACUUUAAUUCUUCACAACGCCUGGGCUUCUAUUUCAUGUGAUGUUAUUUCUCCAUCAGAUUAACUAUGUCCUUUUGAGAUUGUAUAAAUCACAGUUUAUCAGAAAGGACAAUGGAAAGACAUUUUGUGCAGAGGGAAUUUGGUAUGCAGAAAUAAUCUUUUGUAGAAUAAAAGCUGCAUAAUUCAAAUUAUAUGUUUAGUCACAGGAUGUUCUUGUUUCAGAUGAACAGAAUGUAACACACUUACUAUGCCAAACAACUGGCAGACAUAGACUUUUUUUGAGCUGCAGAGGGAAAUGGACAGUACAUGAAAAGGGAACGUAGAAAAUUGUUGACAUACACCAACCCUUAGUAGAGGGUCUGUCACAAGAAUAUCUCCCCAAAGGGCUAGCUAAAAAGAAAGUAAUGCAAGGUAAGAAUAAUUUCUUAAAAAGCUGUAAAAUGGCUUGUUCUAUUUCAGUGAGGACAAGACAACUUUGUAACAUGCAAGGCUGAGCUUUUUAUAUGGUACUGGAAGAUGUCACACACUCACCUCUGCAAAAAAUCGUCUUCUGUGGCAAAGAGGUUCUGGGCUUUAUAAAAACCUUCUACACUACUUCUCAUAGCUCCAUGUUUUAGAUGCACCUCACUUGCCUGGAGUAGCAAGGAAAGAUUAAAUUUUCCCAAGGUAGGCCUGGCAUGGGCGUCUCAUGGACUAGGAGCUUGUGAUCACCUUACCAUGGCGAUUGAGUGAAAGCCAGAAUAGCGUAGUUUAAAUAAAUUUCAUUAAUCUCUUUUAUCUAAGAGCAGAUGAAGUAUUUUUCAUAUGUUGUCUACUGAUUUUUCACUGUAAUAUUUCAAGUUAAUCAGAAGCUAAUGGAAAAGAAUGUCAGCUCCUACAUUUGACUGAUAAAUAGCAUGCUACUUUACUCCUGGAAGUUUGAAAAAGUUACUCUCAUGCUGAAAAUAAAUUCUAAUCAGGACUUUAGAAACUGUUGGUAGAGACUAUCGAAGCAACAUCUUCAGUUGCACCAGUCCUUCUAAAUGAUGGGUAUUCUGGAGGUCACCUUGUUUAACUUUAGGCUUUAUAAAUGAUUUUUGACUAAAUAAGAAAAGCUGUUUCUUUGAGACUGAAUCCAAAACCUACUUGGGAAAAACAAUUGGGUUUUGAUGAAUUGUAAUCUCUUGACUCAGUAUUUUACAGGAAUUAUACAUGGAAAAGAAUAGUAGGGCACUCCAUGAAAUUAUUGUGACAGCUGAAAUCAAAAUCACAAUAGCUUCAAAAAACAUAUUUUUGAAAAAUAUCUUUACUUUUCAGUGCUGAGUGAACAUAUGGAAUGAAACAUGAAGUUUCAUAAUUUUUUGGGGUGUAAUCAGUGCACAAUUUUAAUUUGGCAUAUUUGAGACCACCAUUCUUGUUUGCAAAGAGAAUACCACUAACUGGAGACAGUCUAAUUAAACAGCCUAAUUAGCAUUAAGGUUUCGUCAGAGAUUGAACAGUUUUUAUUGUGUCAUUGUUUUUGCCAAGCUGCAGGAAGCUUUUUAUUUUUUCCUUCAUGAUCCUAAGGUUUUAAGAAAAAAUAUAGAAAGCUGUAAGAAAAAGAAAAUCUUCAGCCCUUCUGGAAAUCAGGGGUUUUCAUUACAGUGCAGCCUGAGACAAGAACUGUAGAUUUAUGAAAAUGGGGUUUUUCCUCUGAACUCAAAGGUGUUUUCUCUGGAGAUGGGCUCUGCUUCAGGCUCCUAGGAGACAGUGUCUCACCCACGAGAUAUCAGUUUUCCCUCUGAACUUCCAUGAACCUGGGACCAGUCAUACACCUCUGUGUGCCCUGAGAGCCCUGCAAGGCAGAAGAAAGGCUGAUAAGGAGCUCAGGUCCCCUUUCUAUUUGCAAAAUGACUAAGAGCAUUGUUACUUUUUGCCUCAUGUUUGCCUGGUUUGCUUGGCAUUAUCUGCUACUUAGAGUUUGAGCCAAAUGGUGAGUUUGUGAAUGUUCAAACUUUCAUAUGCAAUUACUUUGGUACGGGAGAAAAGGAAAAUAUUAUGCAGAAUACUGAUCUUGCUUUGUGUUUGAACACAGAGUAAAGUCCUUUUGUUUAAGCAUAAAGUACAAAUGUUUACCUUGGAGCCUUGUAUAAUUUUAAUUAAAACACAAAGUCAUGCCUUUGAACCUCUACCUCUGAGUCAUAUAAAAUGAAAUCUCAAAAUUAAAAUUUCUGUGAAUGGUAGUUUGUUUUGCUCUAUUGCUAAUCUUAAUAAACACACUGCAGGUUAGUCCCAUUUAUAGUUUUCUGUCUGAUCCUCUUAAAACUCAUUCUGUGAUCAGUUGUGGUCAUGUUUCAGCACCUAGCUAAUUCUGAUUAGCAUUAUAAUCUAGUACAAUAAAAGCAGUUUAAUCAGAAAUUGCAAAUGAGACUCAACUACAUCUACUAUAAUCAGCUAUUUUGCUGACAUUGCUUCAGCAGCAGGGUUGUCGAGCACAGAAUGAAUUAGGUAUAUAUAUGAAUAGCUUUAGGACAUGUUUGAUACUGAUUUAGAGAAGAAUUUGCAUAAACAGCAGUUAAAACUUAAUUAAAAGUAAAAACCCUGUUGUAUGCUUCUAAGGUUGAACAAUUUUUGCUCAAUUUAAUGGUGAGGUAAUCUGUCCUCAACUAAUCCUUUUCACUCACUCAAUUUGUCAUAACCACAACCUCCUGCACUGACUAUGUAGACAGUGGCUAUAGGUUCUAUAAGCACCACAAUAAUUUACAGUAAGUCUAGCUGCUAAAUGUCCAUG
Long non-coding RNA from Parus major (Great Tit), 6231 nucleotides. RefSeq lists it as uncharacterized. The transcript has 4 exons. The record is from RefSeq and is a predicted model, not a curated record. Lineage: Eukaryota; Metazoa; Chordata; Aves; Passeriformes; Paridae.